UGAGGAACAUGACCUUCGGCGGGGGAUAGCCGGCCCAACGGCCGGGUAAUACCGCGUACGACCUUUCGGGGACAUCCUCGGAUGGUGAAAGCAGCAAUGCGCCGAUGGAGUGCCUCGCGGCCUAUCAGCUAGUUGGUGAGGUAACGGCUCACCAAGGCAACGACGGGUAGCUGGUCUGAGAGGAUGGCCAGCCACAUUGGGACUGAGACACGGCCCAGACUCCUACGGGAGCAG
RNAcentral lists this ribosomal RNA (234 nucleotides) under uncultured bacterium. Its description in RNAcentral is "partial 16S ribosomal RNA". It matches the Rfam family "Bacterial small subunit ribosomal RNA", at positions 118 to 347 of the family's 1533-position model. The record is from RNAcentral.